Molecule: ribosomal RNA, 530 nt
Filed under: uncultured archaeon
Lineage: Archaea
Description: bacterial SSU rRNA
Rfam family: Archaeal small subunit ribosomal RNA
Source: RNAcentral
CCGCGGUAACACCGGCAGCUCUAGUGGUAACAAUUUUAUUGGGCCUAAAGCGUCCGUAGCCGGUUUAAUAAGUCUCUGGUGAAAUCCUGCAGCUUAACUGUGGGAAUGCUGGAGAUACUAUUAGACUUGAGACCGGGAGAGGUUAGAGGUACUCCCAGGGUAGAGGUGAAAUUCUGUAAUCCUGGGAGGACCGCCUGUUGCGAAGGCGUCUAACUGGAACGGUUCUGACGGUGAGGGACGAAAGUUAGGGGCGCGAACCGGAUUAGAUACCCGGGUAGUCCUAACUGUAAACGAUGCGGACUUGGUGUUGGGUGGCUUUGAGCUGCUCAGUGCCGAAGGGAAGCUGUUAAGUCCGCCGCCUGGGAAGUACGGUCGCAAGACUGAAACUUAAGGAAUUGGCGGGGGAGCACCACAACGCGUGGAGCCUGGCCGGUUUAAUUGGAUUCAACGCCGGACAUCUCACCAGAGGCGACAGCUGUAUGAUAGCCAGGUUGAUGACUUUGCUUGACUAGCUGAGAAGUGGUGCAUGG